ACAGGAAAAGGGAAGGAGGGGACAGGCCUGUAAAGUCCCCUGUCACCUCGCUGGUUUCAGCGCCAUCGCAGGCACGCAAAAGGAGAGAUAAAAAUACCUCCCCCGAGGCUGCUCAGGGGUGAAAUGAGAUAACUCACGCUGGCACAGGCGGUGUGGCCUCUCUGCUCUGAGUCGUGGGGUCAGUCAGGGCUAGAGGAGGAGGAAGGAUCAAGAGAUGUGCACAGCUGGUGAAAGAAGAAACUGAAGGAGAUUGUGAAACUGACGGGAAAACAAGGAACACACAAGGCUGGCAGAGGCGGAAGGAGAGCCAUUCAGAGGACCCGUCAGCUCCACAGCAGGAUCCAAGGAAGCUGGGGCCUGGCUCUCCCCACAGGACCACCUCAGGAGCCUGUGGACCAUUCCCAGGAACUGCUUUAUCUGUCAGGAGACACUUGGCACGCAGACUAUACCCUUUAUAGAGACAGCACCUCAUCCCUUAACUGGAUCAAGAUUAGCUCCAAGACGCUGGGACGGCGCAGCAUGACACUGUGGAGCCUGGUUAAGGCGUGGAGACGGCAGCAGUAGCAGAGCAGGAAGACCUACCGUGCUCUCUACGUGUUAGGCUCCCGUGGUACUGCCCGGCUUGCAUAGAGAGGCCCUGCAACUUGCCCAAGGUUACUGACGGUUCACCACGGGCCCAGGUUCCAAGUUCCACUCACAGCCACCGCCAACCUCUUCAUCAACUAGCGCACUGACAGAAUCUAUUUGGGAUGCAGGGUGUUUUGAAAAUGACUGACGAGGGCUUGGGAGACGGCCCAGUGGGCGAAGAGCUUGGCUCGUGCGAGAGGACCUCGGUUUGACUGUCUCAACCCAUGUGAAGAAAAGAAAGACAGGGCGUGGUCCUUGUGACCCCAGCGGUGCCUCCUCAGUUGCUGAACAGGAGUUUGAGUUCGAGGCCUCUAGCCCCGUGAAGCGUUGCAAGCCUCUCUAUGAGCAAGGAUCCUGCCCAGCAAGGGAACCCUGCGGCUCGCCCAGUGGACACUGCGGCCCGGCACAAAGGACAGACAGAUAGGCACGGCUGCUCUACCGGGCUUGGUGUGGGAAGCCACCCUUUCCUCCCGCGUGGCGACCCCAGUGUCCCUUUCCUACUGCUGGCCUGUGGUCCGAGGGGCAGCUAGGGUUGGAGCCCUGUCACUUAAUGCAGACGGAGAUAGCCAAAGAGAGGACUACACACAAGUGUCAGCCAGCGGUGCCAAGGAGGGGCUAGGAAGACGGCUCCAGCGUGUCCCCAUGACCCCAGAGCCUACGUCAGAGCCCUAAACGUCAGAAGCAGCAGCAUAGGCACCCGCCACUCCACUGAGGCCACAGGGAGAUGGAGGCAGAGACAGGGGCAUCCUUGGAAGCUCUUGGGCCAGCUAGUGGGCUUAGGAGCUGGUGAACCACAAGAAAGAUCCUGGCUCAAAAAAGGUGGGAAGUCAAGCCCAACACCCCACAUUGUCCUCUGACCUCCACAGACACACAGUGGUAUGCAUGCCUCUGCACUGCCUUACACACUC
This is a long non-coding RNA of Mesocricetus auratus (golden hamster), 1535 nucleotides long. RefSeq lists it as uncharacterized. The record is from RefSeq and is a predicted model, not a curated record. Lineage: Eukaryota; Metazoa; Chordata; Mammalia; Rodentia; Cricetidae. The transcript has 4 exons.